RNAcentral lists this ribosomal RNA (567 nucleotides) under Triticum aestivum (bread wheat). RNAcentral describes it as "partial small subunit ribosomal RNA". Lineage: Eukaryota; Viridiplantae; Streptophyta; Magnoliopsida; Poales; Poaceae. The record is from RNAcentral.
AUGGCACACUCUGUCGGCCUCGUCGUCCUCCUCCUCGCCGUCGUGGCGCUCGCCGCCCAGCCUCCGGCUCCGGCGGCCUCCGCAAAGGCUCCUGCUUCGGUCAACGAAAAGACAGCGAAAGCGCCCACGGCGGCGAACGCAGCGUCCGUGGCUACUCCGAAGGCUGAACCGGCCAAGACAGCGACGCCCGCCCGUGCGCCCGCGAAGGGGUCCGGCGCCGAGUCGCCGAGCAAAGGCGCCACGUCGGCGAAGGCCCCGGCCAGUUCAUCCAAGGAUUCCGCGUCGAGCCCGUCCGAAGCCGAAGCCGCCGAGACUCCGGACGGCGGCGACGCCGACCCCGAGGAUGAUUCAUCCGCCGCGACGCCGUCCUCCUCGUCGUCGGACGAUGACUCCAACACAGACGACGACAGCCCGCCAGGGCCCGCCAGCUCGCCAGACUCAGACUCGCCAGCUGACUCGCCUGACCCCGCCGCAGACGACGAGAAUGGCAGCGUCGGCGUGAGGAGUGGCGUGGUGGCUUCCGUCGUGGCCGUGGCCACCUCAGCCUCCGUCGUGCUUUUAUUUUAG